Molecule: ribosomal RNA, 383 nt
Filed under: uncultured eukaryote
Lineage: Eukaryota
Description: partial 18S ribosomal RNA
Rfam family: Eukaryotic small subunit ribosomal RNA
Source: RNAcentral
CAAUAGCGUAUAUUAAAGUUGUUGCAGUUAAAAAGCUCGUAGUUGGAUUUCUGGUGGGAGCGAUCGGUCUGGCGCUUAGCGCGAGUACUUGCAUCGUCUCCGGCCAUCCUUGGGGAGAGUCUGUCUGGCAUUAGGUUGUCGGGCAGGGGAGCCUCAUCGUUUACUGUGAAAAAAUUAGAGUGUUCAAAGCAGGCUUAUGCCGUUGAAUAUAUUAGCAUGGAAUAAUAAGAUAGGACUUUGGUACUAUUUUGUUGGUUUGCGCACCAAAGUAAUGAUUAAUAGGGACAGUUGGGGGUAUUCGUAUUCCGUUGUCAGAGGUGAAAUUCUUGGAUUUACGGAAGACGAACUACUGCGAAAGCAUUUACCAAGGAUGUUUUCAUUAA